RNAcentral lists this long non-coding RNA (4211 nucleotides) under Sus scrofa (pig). Its description in RNAcentral is "lncRNA (ENSSSCG00065042040.1)". The record is from RNAcentral. Lineage: Eukaryota; Metazoa; Chordata; Mammalia; Artiodactyla; Suidae.
GGGGAGUCUGCGCAGGCGGAACCGGGCGUGUGAGUCCAGAGGGCCUCGGGGUCAGGUUCUUCUCCACGAGCAGGCGGCUUCCAGGGCAUCCCGGGUUUGACCCACGCAUCCUGAGAUGGCUCUGCACGUCCUGGAAGAGGGCGCGGCCGCCGCGCUGGUUUUGUGGUUUCAAGGGAGGCCGGGCGAACUCGCGCUUCACCUCGGCCAAGUUGCAGAAGUGGCCCAGGAGCUCCAGAGCCACGUCUUCGCAGUGGAAAUAGAAGCCCGGAGAGAGGAUAGGCUGUGUCAGAAGGUGCUGUUCUCAAGGGAACGGGUUCCAGCCCAGCGAAGGGUGCCAUCUACUGGAUUUACUAAUGUUCCUUCUCAGAACACCAGGAAGUCUCCUUCAGGACUCUGGGGUACUAAUAAUUCCUCCACUCCUGGAGCACUCCCUUCUUUCCCACCAUUUUUACACAGCAUAGACAAAGCACUGAGUCCCCACGGGGCUGCGUAGCGGCUUCUGAACUGAAUCCCACUGAUUCUUGUCUCUCCUCGAGUGCGCGCUGCACUUAAUCAGUCACUUGCUUCUAAUGAAUAGAGUACGACAGAGGGGAUGGGAUAGCCCUUCUCAAAUUAGGCUAUAAAAGUGUGUGACCUCUGUUUUGGUCACAGACUGCCUCUCUCUGGUGUCUCUUAUGUGUUCGUUCCGAUGAAGCCAGCUGUCAUGUUGUGAGCUCUGGCCUCUGGCCAACAACCAGUGAGAAACUGAGACUGUCAUUGGAACUGAGACCUUUAGUCCAAAAGCUUGUGAGAGACAAUCCCACCAAUAACCAUGAAUGAGCUUGGAAGCAGAUCCUUCCUCUUUGGAGCCUUCAGAUGAAGCCGCAGCCCCAGUCAGCCUCUUUUGUAAAAUUGUGGCUGUACCCACAGCAUGUGGAAGUUCCUGAGCCAGGGAUCGAACCCGUGCCAGAGCAGCAACCUGAACCACAGCAGCGACAACACCAGGUUCUUAACCCAUGGAGCCACAAGGGAACUCCCACAGUCAACAUCUUGAUUGCAGGAUGGUGUGAGACCCUGGUAUUUGACCCACAGAAACUGUGACAAAAUAAACAUUGCUUUGUGCCAUUAAGUUUUGGAAUGGGAGUUCCCUCAUGACUCAUGGGUUAGGGAUCCUGCGUGGUCACUGCUCUUGCUCAGGUCCCAGCUGUGGUGUGGGUUCUGUCCCUGGCCCUGGAACUUCCACAUGCUGUGGGCGUAGCCAAAAAAAGUUUUGCGAUGAUUUGUUAUGCAGCAGUAGGUAACUAAUUCAAGGGCCAAUAGUGGCUCACUAAUUUCGAUGGAUUUUCAAAAGCUUCAGAAGUUUCCUGUUUGAAUUGGGCCUAAUAAGCCUCAUAAAGACUUUCUUCUGUGCUUGCCUGGUUAGACAGUUAGACCUUGCAUCUCCAGAGGAGUAGUCCUGGAAGCUUCUGAGGCCACUUGAUCUGUAGUUCUGCAAUGAUAGGUCUUUAUCAUAUACCAAGCGAGUGAGCAUUUUAAGAUAAGCAUACUUUUCAGAGUAACAUGCAUUGUUUUUAUCAUUAAUUUUCAGUUAGAAGAAUAAAGCAUGAACACAUUCUCCUGGCAAAAAUAAGUACAUUAUAGAUAAAGUCCUCUUUGACAGUAACCUGAUUGAGGCCUCUCUCCUCCUCAUAAUAGCGAGCUCCACUCUUUAUUAUGAGUUUGGAGUAGAUCUUGCCAGAACUUAAAAAAAUUUUAUUAACAUGCACGUGUCUGUGUUUACAAAAAUAACACUCCUGCAGUAUCAUUCACUUUUUCCCCACUCCUCCUUGCUUUUUUCCCACUCAGCCAUCUCUUCCAGUUUUGAAAUCCCUAUUGAUGUAUGUGGACUCUAGUUCACUCUUACUUAUCAAGUGAAAACAGCACUUUGUACUUAGCUGCCAUGUACUGAUGACCUUGGUUCCAGACCUUCACCGUCACACACCACGCUGCAGUGAACAUCUCCUACCUGUCUGUGCCAGAGCGUGUUUUUCCAGGCCAGACACCUAUGAGGGGAAAGGCUGGGUCAUAGAUUAUGCACAUCUUUCGUCUUAGCAACACUGCCAAAUUGCCCGACCAAAUGGCUGUGUCAAUUUAUGCUUCCUAUAGUAAUGAAAAUGCCUGUUUGCCCUAAACUUUGCCCAAAUGUCGUAUUUUCCAGCCUGGUGGGAGAAAAGUGACUUCUCGUUGGUUUGGUUCACAUUCUCCUAGUUAUUGGUGAGGUCGAAAACCUCUUCGUGUAUUUAGUGGCAGUUUUUCUCCCUUUGUAUAGGGUUCCUGUGAGAGCAGUUGUGUGUGUGUGUGUGUGUGUGUGUGUGUGUGUGUGUGUGUGUGUGUGUGUGUGUGUGUGUGUAUAGCAGGGCUUGGGGGGAAGGGUGUGAAUUUGAGCUUGGAUGCCAGCUACCCAGGGGAGUUGCAUUCCAGUUCUGAGCACAUGGGCUGCCCAUCGCUGAUAGCCUGUGAGAACUUGAGAUCACGUGCAGCCUCUCCCUUUGGGGUGAGAUAGAGCCACCGGUUUCAGCUCGGACCUUCAUCUGGAGAGCCUCUGGGGGUAUCCAGCACUCGAACUGCUUGGUCCCGUCCCAACACUACUGUGUGAGGGCAGAAACUAGGAGGUUAUGAUGUUGGCUUAAUGCAUUGCCUCUGAUCAGUGCAAAAUCGGUUGCGGCUCCACUGUGGGGGCAGGGCAGAAAGAUGAGUGGAACUUAGCGAGCUCCCCUCGGUAAUAAAAGCCCCCUUAAGUCUAUUGGACGCCUCAACAGGCAAGACUGACAAGGGCAAAGACUGUCAGGAAUUAAAGUUUGGGGUGCCUUAUGCUUGCGAAGCAAGAGGAAUUAGGACUGUAUGGUGGAGGAGGGAUACUUCAUAACUAAUGGCAAAAACAAGGAGUCUUGCUGGUCCUUAAGUUUUCUUCUUUGCCAAAUAUGUAUAUUUAUAUACUUUAAAGAAUUCCUCAUGUCUUUGACUGACUUCUUUCUCAGUAUGGAUGAAGAUGGAUAAACUCGUGCUGUUUAGACCACCAGGUCCAGAAUCAUGUUAGAAGAGCAACGGCUCUGGCGCAAAGAUCUUUAUCUUGCAGCUGGAUGCAGAAACCGAGGAGGCUUUGGUCCCCCGCCUUGGGAAGUGUGAGUUCAUCUUAUGUUGUAAGGAGAAGCAAUCACAUUAUUUUAGACACCAGAAUUUUUGGAAGUGUGCAUAUGGGAAGAGGGGUUAGAUCAAUAAUUAGUGACCAAAAGGCUGGGCUGUUUCCUGAGGGGAGGGGAGUACCACCCAGUAUUCAUUCAGCCGGCCCUACGGCCAGCGUGAUUACUUCUGGGCAAUUCCCUCGGUGUGUACAAUCCUGGUGGAAUGAUCAAUCGAGGGUCUGGCAGAACUCCUGCUACAGAGGCCCCUGAAGGCUCCAUCUGCCAGAUUCUUCCUCUAAGUUCUGCAGUAGAGCCAGAGUGUCAGCAUGUUGCCCAAAGCCUGUGAGGAUGACUCAGUCUUCUGGAACUUUUAAUCCUUUAAUCCUUAACAGAGUGAAGCAAAUCAAUUCAUUCAUUCCAGUGACUGUGCUGGGAAAGACUGUCAGGCUACUCCGGUUACAGAGGCUCUCUGGAACUCCCUGGUUCUGUCUCGAUCCACUGCAUGAAUAUACUUCAAUUUAUGUAUCCUUUUUCUAUCAACAUCCGAGGCUAUCUCAGAUAUUGCUGCCAUGAAGAUUCUUUUUUUCCCCACAUUAAUUUUGCUUUAGUAGCGUCAACUUUCUGUCCCUAGCUAACGAAUGGAGAGAUUUUUGUCACAGUAGUGUUUUAUUCAUAAUGCAUUUAAAUAUAUACAUUUCAGUUUGUUUUUAUCACUCUUACUAGGGACAUGUGUUUUUAGAAAGAGACAGAGUAAGCUAUACCCUCCAAAAGAGAAAAUACAACUAUAGUUUAAGUAACAGAAAAAAAAUAACAAGCUAUUAAAAAUGUAAAGCUGGGAAAUUUUUCUAAUCAUCAUACCCAACACCUAAAUUGUCUUUCAUUGUCAAACACUGCACUUAACUAAAACAUUUAAAAUUUAGUAAUAGAAUGAUUGCUUGGUUAGAUUUAUUUUGUUUCUGUAAUAAAUAAUAUUAAGAAUAAAGACAAAAAUAGUGAUGAUAAUAUACAAAGAAAUGUUGGAGAUACUUUUAUAGCUUGUGAUACCCUCAGAGGCAAAAAAAAAAAAAAAAA